GUAGAGAGCUUGCUUCUCUUGAGAGCGGCGGACGGGUGAGUAAUGCCUAGGAAUCUGCCUGGUAGUGGGGGAUAACGUUCGGAAACGGACGCUAAUACCGCAUACGUCCUACGGGAGAAAGCAGGGGACCUUCGGGCCUUGCGCUAUCAGAUGAGCCUAGGUCGGAUUAGCUAGUUGGUGAGGUAAUGGCUCACCAAGGCGACGAUCCGUAACUGGUCUGAGAGGAUGAUCAGUCACACUGGAACUGAGACACGGUCCAGACUCCUACGGGAGGCAGCAGUGGGGAAUAUUGGACAAUGGGCGAAAGCCUGAUCCAGCCAUGCCCCCU
Molecule: ribosomal RNA, 328 nt
Filed under: Pseudomonas sp. PDD-38b-2
Lineage: Bacteria; Pseudomonadati; Pseudomonadota; Gammaproteobacteria; Pseudomonadales; Pseudomonadaceae
Description: bacterial SSU rRNA
Rfam family: Bacterial small subunit ribosomal RNA
Source: RNAcentral